GUGCCAGCCGCCGCGGUAAUACGUAGGGGGCAAGCGUUGUCCGGAUUCAUUGGGCGUAAAGAGCGUGUAGGCGGCCAGGUAGGUCCGUUGUGAAAACUCGAGGCUCAACCUCGAGACGUCGAUGGAAACCAUCUGGCUAGAGUCCGGAAGAGGAGAGUGGAAUUCCUGGUGUAGCGGUGAAAUGCGCAGAUAUCAGGAAGAACACCUAUGGCGAAGGCAGCUCUCUGGGACGGUACUGACGCUGAGACGCGAAAGCGUGGGGAGCGAACAGGAUUAGAAACCCUCGUAGUCC
This 292-nucleotide ribosomal RNA is filed under the name uncultured bacterium. RNAcentral describes it as "partial 16S ribosomal RNA". It matches the Rfam family "Bacterial small subunit ribosomal RNA", at positions 505 to 796 of the family's 1533-position model. The record is from RNAcentral.